GCAGGCGUGGCGGAACGGUAUACGCAACGGACUUAAAAUCCGUGGGGAGCAAUCCCGUGAGGGUUCAAGUCCCUCCGCCUGCACCA
This 86-nucleotide transfer RNA is filed under the name Alphaproteobacteria bacterium. RNAcentral's name for it is "tRNA-Leu". It matches the Rfam family "tRNA". From Rfam's summary of the family: Transfer RNA (tRNA) molecules are approximately 80 nucleotides in length. Their secondary structure includes four short double-helical elements and three loops (D, anti-codon, and T loops). The record is from RNAcentral. Lineage: Bacteria; Pseudomonadati; Pseudomonadota; Alphaproteobacteria.